RNAcentral lists this long non-coding RNA (998 nucleotides) under Homo sapiens (human). RNAcentral's name for it is "HSALNT0069299". Lineage: Eukaryota; Metazoa; Chordata; Mammalia; Primates; Hominidae. The record is from RNAcentral.
GUUGUUUUUUUCUGAGAAGAUGGAGAAGGAAAUUCACAUGGAGGGAGAAGCAUUUUGUCCGGGAUCCUUUAGGGAAGUCUGAAGAUGAUGUGGCUGUAGUAAAGGUCCCAUAGAGGGACUGCGAAGAGAUGAAGCUGGAAAGAGUCUUCAGCUCUUGAACUCCAGGAUUCUCACCAGUGGCCAACAGUUUCUCAGACCUUAGGUUUUGAAUUGAGUUACGUCAUCAGCUUUCCUGGUUUUAAGGCUUUCAAACAUGGAUUGGCUUCUCUGAUUCUCCAGUUUGCUGACAACCUAUCCUGGGACUUUCCUGCCAUCAUAAGUGAUUCCAGGACCUGUGAAGAAUUCUACCUUCAGACAACUGCUCAACUGGAUUGAAUCUGGGAGAAGAAGAUGGGGGCAUUAUUUCUUGACAGCCACCUAGAUUCCAACAGCAUCAUGCAACAAAUGGUACUAAGACCUUCAGAACCCUUGAAGAGCUAAUCAGCACUUAUGCAUGAAGGCAAUGUUCUAAACCUUAGUGGUCAGGAAAUGUUUGAGAUUUGAAACAGUUGUUUGAAGUUGAGGCAGAAAGUAAUAAAGAAUACUAAAAUUAUCAAAGAAACACCAAACACAAAUCAAUAGCAUCCAAAUGAGCUUUACCUUUAUAGCUGGUACUCUUUCUGUCCUCUUUUCUGCUUCCUAAGAGAUGUUUUUUGGUGAUUUGGUCCUCCUAAGUGCAUGCACAUUGGACAGGAUAGUAUGAGUAUGAUUAGAGUGUAAGCAUGACUAGAAGCACAAGUUAAUUUAUGAGUGAUUGAAUAAAAGUAAUUUUGUGAAAAAUAAGAACAAGUUCUUUUGGUUUAUAUUUUGGCAUGCUUUCUUUCACCAUUUUAAAGAGAUCUUUCCAAGAUGAAAUACAUUGCAGAAAUACAUAUCUGUCACCUAUUUAGAAAAUGACAUUCAUUUGAAAAUGAGCCACUGUGAAUUAGAUACAAAGAGAGGUCAAAGUUAAUAAACAG